This 265-nucleotide ribosomal RNA is filed under the name Mycobacterium tuberculosis. Its description in RNAcentral is "partial 23S ribosomal RNA". It matches the Rfam family "Bacterial large subunit ribosomal RNA", at positions 2609 to 2873 of the family's 2925-position model. Lineage: Bacteria; Bacillati; Actinomycetota; Actinomycetes; Mycobacteriales; Mycobacteriaceae. The record is from RNAcentral.
GUUUAGAACGUCGUGAGACAGUUCGGUCCCUAUCCGCUGCGUGCGUAGGAAAUUUGUGGAGGGCUGUCCUUAGUACGAGAGGACCGGGACGGACGAACCUCUGGUGUGCCAGUUGUACCGCCAGGUGCAUGGCUGGUUGGCUACGUUCGGGAAGGAUAACCGCUGAAAGCAUCUAAGCGGGAAGCCUGCUCCGAGAUGAGAUUUCCAUCCCUUUGUGGGGAGAGGUGCCCAGGAGAACACUGGGUUGAUAGGCCGGGUAUGGAAG